This is a long non-coding RNA of Acinonyx jubatus (cheetah), 1625 nucleotides long. RefSeq lists it as uncharacterized. The record is from RefSeq and is a predicted model, not a curated record. NCBI's taxonomy places the organism in Eukaryota, Metazoa, Chordata, Mammalia, Carnivora, Felidae. The transcript has 10 exons.
ACUGGUCCAAGCCCCCAGCAAGAUCCUUAGCUCUCGGUGUGGUAAGGUAGAACCCGAUCCCGGUCUCCAGUUGUCUUAUCUUUUUCAUAUGUUUCGAACUUACUGCCUUUGUUCAGCAGAACCACCGGCACGGUGAUGAUGGUGAUGAGCGCAGCAAGCCCCAGCAGUCCCAGGAGCACCUUCCACGGUGUCUGCAGGCGGGUCAGAUCGUGUCCGGUUAGAGCGAGCCGUCGAGCCCCAGCGCAGUAGAGGUAGAGGGUCGGGGCCCGCCCUGCACCCUAGGCAGCGGGGUUUGCCGAUGGUCGUGCAUUGGAAAGGGGGCACAGUGGGCUGGGAGGGUUUGGAGCGCGGAGGUUGCCAAGAGCGGUCGCCCUUGAACUUUUGGCCUCCAAGCACACUAGCGUUUGCUUCUCUACGCCUCCUGAACGUCAGAAGCCAAGUGAGGGAGAAGCCAGGGUCUCGUGAAAUGCUCAGAACACAUGCAUAAAACUACAGCAGGGUUGGGCUGGAGUGAAAUCAGCAACGUACCAAAACCAUGAAACACAGAAACAACUGCUUCUUCCAGACGUUCGACAUACCACCCAGAAGGCAGUGUGGAGAAGAGGAGAGUGAAGAUUUUAAAGUCAGACAAGCCUGGGCAUUCACUUAAUGACUGGGUGGCCAUUGCUAAUAAUGCAAAGGGAUACGAAAACAGUACACAGAAUACAGGAAUAAUUCACAACUCAAAAUUAUGCAAAAGAGCUGAUGCUCUUCUUCAGUUUGUGUGCAUCUAAUAGACGGUCUUAAUAAAGAAGCUAAUGAGUAUCUGAUAACACCGUGCAGCGUAAACAUAAGGAGGAACCUAACAGGCUCACUAAUCAUGGAACAAAUCUUUUUCUGUGGACAACCAGAAAAUGCAAAAUCAUAGAACGACUGCACCUGGACUAGAGGAAAAGAAUUCCUGCUCUCUUAUUAAUUCCAAGAAGAGUGGUCCUGCCAUUGCCACCAGCCAUGUGAAAUCUGUGGUGAAGAAUUGAGAAUGAGGACAGGUAGCUACAGCCUGAAAUCAGGAGGAUGAAUGAGUGGAUGGAAUGACAGGAACCUGGUUACUGGGGAGUAUAGGUAGGACAGGUGACAAAUGACAGUGGGGGUGUCAGGAAGCCAGUGCAACUAUGGCAGCUCCACCCAGGAACUGGCUAGUAAGCUGCAGGAAGAACAUCAGAAGGGAAGAGGAAGAGCACAGAGUGAAGAAAUCAUGGAUAACCCUCCACAGGGCAGCAGCCCAAGCAAGGAGGCAAGAGGUUUAGAAUAAAUCAGUUCCAGUUUUGGACUAUGUACUGGAAGAUCAUACCCAAGUGUUGGCAGAGAGAAGAAAACAUCACCUUGUAAGUUAAGUUUAACCUACACAAGAGAUCAGAGCCCAGAGAUGAGAUGUGAGAGAAGAGUCACCGGUGCGCUUUACCAGGAGGGAUCCUGAAUAGUUCAGGAUCUAGUUACAGAAAUGGACCCCAGAAACUGCUGUGGCAAAUGGCCUUCUGAGAAGACACCAUGCUGUAUGAGCUACGUUAGCUAAGUCUCUAUUACCCAAUAACCUUCACCAGUACCCAGAUAAUACUUUCAGUCUGGCUUCUUGGUUCAAUGCUCAG